RNAcentral lists this ribosomal RNA (414 nucleotides) under uncultured Chloroflexota bacterium. RNAcentral describes it as "bacterial SSU rRNA". It matches the Rfam family "Bacterial small subunit ribosomal RNA", at positions 1073 to 1500 of the family's 1533-position model. The record is from RNAcentral. Lineage: Bacteria; Bacillati; Chloroflexota.
UGUUGGCUUAAGUGCCCUAACGAGCGCAACCCCUGCUGCCAGUUACACGUGNCUGGCGGGACUGCCGGUCACAAGCCGGAGGAAGGCGGGGAUGACGUCAAGUCAGCAUGGCCUUUAUGCCUGGGGCUACACACACGCUACAAUGGGACGGCACAAUGGGUAGCCAAGCCGCGAGGCGGAGCCAAUCCUCAAAACGUCCCUCAGUUCAGAUUGCAGGCUGCAACCCGCCUGCAUGAAGUCGGAGUUGCUAGUAACCGCGCGUCAGCCAUAGUGCGGUGAAUACGUUCCCGGGUCUUGUACACACCGCCCGUCACACUAUGGGAGCUGGCUACACCUAAAGCCGGCAGCCUAACCGCAAGGGGGGCGCCGUCAAAGGUGGGGCUGGUGACUGGAGUGAAGUCGUAACAAGGUAGC